Molecule: long non-coding RNA, 12368 nt
Organism: Acinonyx jubatus (cheetah)
Lineage: Eukaryota; Metazoa; Chordata; Mammalia; Carnivora; Felidae
Exons: 6
Source: RefSeq, a predicted model, not a curated record
AGGAAGGGGUAGCCCAGAGCACGCGGCUGAGAAGGCCGAUGCAUGUGGAACACCUGUCUUGCCCUCUGAUUCCUGCCUGGUCACCCCUGGGAGGAGCUCUCCAACAUCCCAUACUUAUCCUGAAAGUUUCAAUUAGGAGUGCUUUUCUGAAUUUGUGAAUUGGAAAGAGGCAGCUUGGGCUUUGUAUGCUUAAGUAAUGCUGGGAAAGUUGUAAGCACUUGAGUCAUUUAGAAUAACUCAGUCACAUAGUUCUCUUGUUGGUAAAAAUUUAGAAAAAUUCCAAGGUGGUGAUAAACCUGGUCAGAGAGAGGGGAAAGCAAAAGAAGCCUUUUGGGUUUAAAAUAAAACUAAAACUCAAGAUGAGAAUUUGGGGGAGGAUGUAAAAAUGUAUUAAUCACCAACGAGGUAACAUUUAUAAGUACAGGUUCAAAGAGUACAAAAUCCAUACAGUAACUAGGGAUCAUAAAGCUUUGGUUAAAACAGCUUCCUUGAGGGGUGCCUGCGUGGCUCAGUCGGUUAAGCAUCCGACUUUGGCUCAGGUCAUGAUCUCACGGUUUGUGAGUUCGAGCCCCACUUCGGGCUCUGUGCUGACAGCUUGGAAGCUGCUUCAGAUUCUGCGUCUCCCUCUCUCUGUGCCCUUGCCCCGCUUGUGCUCUCUCAAAACUGAAUACGCAUUAAAAAAAAUUAAAUCAGAAAACCCCUUAUGAGUUAAAAAAAAACAACAGUUUCCUUGAACAGACUUUCUUCUUUGGCUAUCCUUAGCCUAACAAGAAAGAGAUUUAACUUUUUAAAAGUAAACAUCCCUAAAUUAAUUCCUCACAACGGUAAUAUCUCUUGGGUUUGGGUUUUUGUAGUUGCUCCCAAGAUAUUUCAGAUUUGACCACAGCCUCCCCACCACAGUUGCUCAGGCUAAUGAACUUGCAUGAGGUCACACAGAACUGUGAUUCAUUUCUAAGAAAGUCUGCUUUUGCACAGACGUCACAUACACUUGAGACUCCUGUGGUCAAGAAGGAGCUAAAGCCAUUGUUCUAGAGGUGAAAAAUGAGGCCCCAAGCUUUUCAGUGACUUUCCUCAGGUAACAUUGUAAAUGUGAGAUGGACUGAAACUCAACUGAGAAGGCCAGGCUUCUUGCCCAGUGCCCUCUCUCCCCUCCUCUCACCCCGUGAUUCAGCCCACACUCUAUCAGCAUAUUCUGUUUAUUCUACCAAGACAUUCAGAGUCCAACUCCUACCAUCUGGCCCCAAACCACCACUGUCUCCUAGACUGUUGUUGUAGCUUUCUUGUUAGUCUCCUUGCUCUGCUCUCUCCCCUGUUCAGUCUAUUCUCAGAACUGUUUGAAAAUAGGGGUCAACACAAAUCAUGUCAUUCUGCACAAAAUGUCCAAAUACUUCCGUUGUUAUUUAGAGUAGAAGCCAAGGUCUUUACGUGGGCUAUAAGGCUGUCCAUGAUUGGCCCCCCUGAUAACUCCCUGAAAUCAUCUACCCCUCUUUCUCCUGAUAAUGCCCUGCCAGCUACACUAGGCCCCUUACUAUUUCACCACUGUUGAGGCAUGCUUCUGCCACAGGACUCUGGCACCUACUCUUUUUUUCUGCCUGGAAUGUUCUUCUGAAGAUUGCCACAAUCUGAAGAUUUCCCCAACAAAUGCUCUUUAUCUCGUUCUUUUUAUUUGUCUCCAUUGCACACACCACCAUCUAGCACACGCUGGGCUUUAUUUAUUUCAUUUAUUAUCCGUCUUCUCCCAUUACAUGGUAAGCUUCAUGAUGGUGAGCGGAGAUUUUUAUCUGCUUGCUUGUUUGCUUGCUCUUUUCUAGCACCUAGUACAGACAGGUGGUCGACAAAUAGUUUUUGGACAAAUUAACUUUAUGCUAAUAUAUUUUGGGAGGGAGGAGUAGCUCAAACGACUUUGCACUGGAACAUCCCUCCUGCCCUAUGGGAAAGCAUGAUUGGCCAAGACAGCAGGAAAAGGCCUUUUAGAAAUUGGCGGUCAUGAAGCCUGGGGACAAGCAUAAUGGAUUUAGAGCCGAUAGACGGAGUAUAUCUGAACGGUGUCUGCUCUGCCUCACUGACAAACCCUGUCAUUCCCAAGAGGCUUUCACUAGUUGGCUAAGUGCUGUGGGCCUCUUAAUCUUAAAUGUCACCACAGAACCAUCCUGCCCCACCACCUUUAAACGAAUACGAUUCUUGUUCUCAGUCUUGGCUACUUCCUGGUCUUUUUGUUGGCCGUGCUGAGCACUGGAGUCUCCUCAGCUGCCACCGCACAAAAGAGGUACCAGGUUCACACUGCAUAAGCACACAAACGGGACCGGGAGCAGCAGAAGGAGGUGGCGGUGGUGGAGGAGGGAAGGGGUGUUGGCUUUCUGACUACAGUUUUUCCAUCUUGCUCCAGGGUAUUAACAGCCAGGACCCUCAUCAGAGAUGGCAAAGAGCCCCCCUAAACGCUUACAGAGGAUGCCCAGAUUGACAUCCCUGAAUUGCCCCCCUAGACUUAAUGUUCCUUCACCAGAUCUGCUACUGUGUCGUGACAGAAGGACCUUGCCAGCACUUGCAAGGUUCCAGAGAACUCACAUAGCUUAAAAGAGAUCCUAGAAUUGUAUUCCCUCUUUCCAUUUGUCCCCAUGGGUUUCUGAGAAGCCAAGCCGGUUCCACAGCGACCUAGACAUGGUAGGAACCGCCUGGGGAAAGAAGAUACUUCUUUCUGCUUCAUCUUAAAGCUAGCUUUAAUUUACAAAGGCAGAACGUAGUCCCCAAGGGAACUCCAUGCCUGUCAAGUUGUGUUUGAAUAUUUUUGACUUGGCCAGGUUCUAGCGCCAAAGUAUCAUCAGAAGCCACCAACUUGUAUAAAAAAUAACAACAGUUUGAGACCUAACAUCUCAGGAGUUGAUUGGCAUAUGCUUCCGGGUGAGUUGAAACUUCCUGCCGUAUGCAAAGGGGCACAGCAUCCUGUGAAUCUCUGUACAAAAGACUGAGUAGGAAUCACAAAAAGUCAGUAUUAGAAGUGAUUUCAGAGAUGGGGAAACUGAGGCCUGGAGAUUUCAAGUGGCUCACUGAAACUUCUUAAGACUCAUUCCUUUAUCAGGAGAGAGGAAAGAAAGAGGGAGUAGAAAUUCCCAACAUAGCUCAGGCAAGACUCUUCUGCGGCCUGAUAGAAGCUGGUUAGGGGCACUGACUCAGCCAAGAAAAAACAUUUCCUAAGUUUAAAUAUAGCUUCAGGAGGUCAGGGCUUUACUGGAACCCAAAAUUUUCCUGAACUGCCUCUUUCUGCAUGUGGUUCAAAGCUGUUCCUAUCACUGGUUUUUGAUGUACUUCCAAUUUCUCUCACAGUGAACAGGUAAACAUCUGGCUUGAUAGAUAUUACACACAGUUCUGAUUUUACACUUACAUUCUGGAGAAUUCUUUCCCUUGGCUGACACAGUCUGAAUUGCUUUCAGCAAACAUAUUUUUUGCCUUGGAUCUUGACAAUGGUGGGAGGGUGGCACAUUCUUGGGUAGGGAGAGGAAAGUUUAUAUAUAUCAGGUUAAAAACAAACAAAGAGGGGCGCCUGAGUGGCUCAGUCGGCUAAGCGUCCGACUUCGGCUCAGGUCAUGAUCUCACAAUUCAUGAGUUCGACGAGCCCCGUGUUGGGCUCUGUGCUGACAACUCAGAGCCCGGAGCCUGCUUUGGAUUCUGUGUCUCCCUCUCUCUCUGCCCCUCCCUCGCUCAUUCUGUCUCUCUCUCUGUCUCUCCAAAAUGAAUAAACGUUAAAACAAACAAAGAAAACCAAGAGUCACUUAUGAAGGGAACACUUACAAGCCAGACUUGAAUUUACAUUCACUUUCAUCAAGUUUCAAAAGGUAAAUGUUUCAGAGAGAACAUUUCAACAGCGGUGAAAGAUGAAUAGAAAGAAAACGAAUGAUUUCACAUUCAAGCGCUUGGCUUGGCAUUUUGAAGAAAGGGAUGGAGGUAAUGAUGUCAUUGGACGAAGUUCGUGAUAAUAGGUUUUUAGAACAAUUAAGUGUAGAAUACGUUCUCUCUUUUUUAAGUUUAUUUUGAGAAAGAGAGAGAAAGCGCGUGGGCACGAGUGGGGGAGGGGCAGAGAGAGAAAGAGGAUCCCAAGGGGGCUCAGCACUGUCUGUGUAAAGCCUACCUCAAGGCUGGAUCUCACAACCUUGAGAUCAUGACCUGAGCUAAAAUCAAGAGCCGGACACUUAACUGACUGAGCCACCCAGGCGCUCCAAGUAUAGAUUACUUUCUGACCAUACAAUUAUUAGGAAGUGGCAUUGCAUUUCUUUUUAUUAUUUUACAUACUUCCUUCUGCUAGUUGCGUUUCUGGUGAUAGCACGUAUCUCAAAGCGGGUAGCAUUUAUCAAGUACUGUUCCAGCUGCUCCACUGCACUGGGUCCUGAGAGAUAGUUACAGAGGGAGGCACCAAUAAAACCCGUUUUCUGGAGGAAUUUAACCCUUAAUGACAGGAAAAUGAACCUAUCUGUGUGUAUUAAAAGCAACUUGUGAAAUAUGAAGUAACGUCACGAAGGGGAAAUAAAAUUUAGAAAUGCACUUAUUAUAAUUCAGUUUAUAUUUUGAUUACAUAUGUAAUGGCAGGAUGUCUUGGAUAUGGACGAGAGGGAACGAGAUUGGCCGCAUGUUGGUCAGUGUUGAAACUGAGGUUCGUUACAUUCUUCUCUCUAGUUUUCGUAUUUGAAAAUCUCUUAAUCCAACUUUAAAACAAAGAACUGAGCUCCAACUUUGCGAUUAACUGGCUGCUUGAGGGUGGGUGGCCUUUCAUAUAAGUGAGAACAUUCUCUCUUCUAUGUUCACAAUCUAGUCAUCUCCUGCCUCCUUUUCAUGCGUCUUCCAAAUAAAAUCUUUCUUCAGUCAAUAACCUUGAAUUCCAUUACUCUAGGCCUUUAUCAACGAAAAUAUAAUCCUAAUACAGUAUUAUUACAAAACUUUAAGCACAUAUUUUAUUUAUCAUCCUCAGAUAGUCAAAGCUGUUACAGCCAGCUCGGAGCACACUUCCAAACUCAGUGCUGAUGAACCAGAUCCAGGAAUCAUGCCUUUCUACUUGCUCAUGGGCUCAUUUCACAGUGAUCUUUAGGAGUAAUUGACUAAGGACACAUAGUUCGUUUACUGGGCAUGUCUUCUCAGACCACAUAAUCUUAGGCCAUUACAAUAUCACUUACAGCUUCUGCUGUUUUUGAACAAGGCUGCAAGAAGCAUUUUCAGGAAUUUGUGAGAAAUGAGGGCAUUGUAUGACCUAGUGUUUUGAGUAAAAGCCAGUACUAGAAAAACUGUUACUUUCCCUGAAGGAAUUGACCUACUACCUCCUCUCAGAUUCUAAUUAUCUAAAUGACUGAUUUCCCCUUUUUACCUUGACUAUCAAGAAAGCAAAGUCCAAUUAAGAAGUCACUUUCCAAUUAUGAAAAUAAUAAAUAUUACAUGCCCAUGAUAGAAAAGUUGUAAAAUACCCAAGGAGCAAAAACAAGGAAAAGAGAGACAUAAAAAAAUUAACCCAUGAUCCUGUCAUCCAGAAAAGCCACUGAUAAUGUUUUUUGUAAGAGACAAAUAUGAGACUCAGUUAAUGGAAUUAAAUUUAUCAUUAGGGUUGAUAUGAGUGCUUACCUUUUACUUGGUUCUGAUUUUCUCAAUUUCCUACCUUUUAAGCAUAUGCAUGUUGAAACUGUUUCAAGCCAUUUGGGGGAAGAAGAGGUGCCAACAAAAAUUUAUCCUUAAACUAAUAUGGUGGCAAUAUGAGGCAACUAUUGUCAAGUUUGGGUCUCCUGAUACAAUACCUGCUUACUAUGGGAUUACGAGGACAAGUGAGUCACCGGUUACACAUUGAAAAUUCCAAAGUACUAUAAAAUAAUGAUAAUAAAACGAGCUAACACUAUUUGAGUUCUUUGCUAUGUUUCCCGGCACAACAACCCUACAAAAUGGUACUGUUUUAGCAUUUCAGUCUUUGGUGUUAUUAAAUAGUUCACUUCACUCUUUUGUAGAGUAAUGAGGUAUAAACCUUAAUCCCUAUAACCUCAGAAUGUUAUCUUCUCUGAAAAUAAGUCUGUGCAGAUGUAAUUUAAAAUAAUGACAUUGAGAUGAAAUCAUCCUUGAUUUCCACAGGAUGCCCUAAGUCCAAUGAAAAGUGUCUUUAUAAGACACACCUCAGAGGAAAAGUAAUGUGACCAUGGAAGAAAAGAUUUGAGUGCUGUGAUAUCAAGCCAAGGAAGGCCUGGAGCCACCAAAAACUAGACAAGGCAAAUGACCAAUUGCCCAUAGAGCCUUCAGAGGGGGAAAUUUCAGAUAACUUGUUGAGAUCCUCCUGUGACCAGGUGAUUAUAUGGACACGAUCAACUUCUGGGGGCUAAUGAAGACAGACAAACACAUGGCGGCUGAGAUCAAUGAGACAAAAGUCACUCUUCUUUUUUAGUAGCAGAGCUGGGAUACAAACCCAGUCUCUACCUGUUGUUCUGGACCGAAGGCAAUUUUGACCCUCAACCCCAACCCUAGGAGACACAUGGAAAUGUUUGAAGACAUGUAUGGUUGUCACAGCUGGAUGCUAAAUGUUAUUAACAUUUACCAGAUAGAAGCCAGGAUUUCUGCCAAAUAUUCUACAAUGCACAAGACAGCCUUCUGCAGCCAAACAUUAUCCAGUCCCCAUUGUCAAUAGUGCCAAGGUUGAGAAACUCUGCGUAACGUGACCAGGAUCGUCAAUAUAUUGAUUCUUCCAUGGCUUAUGGUUUGAAUUGUUUCUUUGUAAAAAGGGUAUAUUGAAAUCCCAACCUCCAGUUCCUCAGAAUGUGAACUUGUUUGGAGAUAAAGUCAUUGCAGGUAUAAUUAGUUAAGAGGGGGUCAUGCCGGAGCAGGAUGGGCCUGUAAUCGAAUGACUGGUAUUCUUAUAAAGAGAAUGCCAUGUGUGGAUAGAUACAGAAACACAGGGAGAAUUCCACGUGAGGAUGGAAUGAUACACCUACAAGUCAUUGAGUGCCAAAGAUGGCCGGGAAACCAGCAGAAAUUAGGAAGAGUCAAGGAAGGAUCCUUCCCUAAAGGUGUCAGAGACAGCAUGACUCUGCUGACACCUUGAUUUUGGACUUUGAGCCUUCAGAACUGUGAUACAAAUAAGCAGCCCAGUUUGUGAUACUUUGUUAUGGCAGUCCUAGGAGGCUAAUACUUAUGCUUUCACUGAACUGUACUCCAUUAAUAUCCUCACUUGCUGCCUUGCCCAGUUGAAAUAAUGGUGAUCGCUAAAGCAAUGGAAUAUACGAUCUUGCACAACUAUAUUUAUUUCAAUCAGGAAGUAAAGAGAUUGAAAUCUGGGUAUAUGUUCCAGUAUUUAUCUAUCCAAAUUGAGUAAUAAAAUGUUGCAGGCAGGUAUGAUAAAAAGUUUGGGUAAGGAUGAAACUGGAAAGAAGUCGAGGACUUAUAUGAUUCACUAAAUUGAUAUACCAGUGGGUUCUCCAUUGACAUAGCAGAACUCUUGAAAAGGGCCUUACCCUGUACACCUGAGCUGACUCUUCUUGGGGUAUGCUUUGUACUGGUUCACAUAAUCCAGGUUUUAAUUCCUUGAGCAAAGACCAAGAACCUCAAAUCCACAGCAUUGGUGUCAAAUCUCUGGCCAAGAACUCCAAGUGUAUAAUCUCAGCUAUUGUGCUGGGUCUGAAAUAGUGAUUUUCUUUUACUUUGUUGAUUAAAUGAUUUUGCAAAUCUGAGACUGUACCAAAAAAAAAAAAAACUAAUAAUAAUAAACACAGAUAUAAUGAAAAAAUAGACAUGGGUUUUGAUAUGAAUUUAUUUUUAUGCAAAUAUAACAAUUUUAAAGAUAAUUUUACUGCUUUGUAUAUUCGUUAUGUUAAAGACAUUUGAGAGAAACUAACAUAGUAAACAAAUUAUUUUAACUGAAAUACUUGGGGUGUUUAUCCAUUUAUACACAUUUCCAGUCAAUUUUCAAUACUUAAUGUAAUCUUAUUUACUAAAUUUAUGAGUUUGAGGUUUAAAAUAUUUUUAACUUAUUUUUUUGAGGUAUAAUUGACACACCAUGUUGUAUUACGUUUCAAGUGUACAACAUGUUGAUUUGGCAAGUCUGUGCAUUACUUAGUGCUCGUGAUAAGUGUAGUCACCAUCUGUCAGUAUUAUAUUACAAUAGUACUGACUACAUUCCCUAUGCUGUACUGUACUUUGCCAUCUCUGUGACUUAUUUAUUUUAUGACUGAAGUUCGUACCUCCUAAUGUCCUCUAUCUCUUUCAUCCAUCUGCCAGCCCGCUUUCCCUCUGGCAACCACCAGUUCAUUCUCUGUGUUUAAGAGUUUGCUUUUUGUGGUUCAUUUGCUUUGGUUUUUAGAUUGUACAGAUAAGUGACAUCAUAUGGUAUUUGUCUUUCUCUGACUUGUUUCACUUAGUGUAAUACCCUCUAGGCCUCCAUGUUGUUGCAAGUGGCAAAACCUCAUUAUUUUUUAGUGGCUGAGUAAUAUUCUACUCUAUAUAGAAUAUUAUAUAUAUUAUAUAUAUACCACAACUUGCUUGUCCAUUCAUCUAUCAAAGGACACUUAGGUUGCUUCUAUAUCGUGGCUGUUGUAAAUUAAUGCUGCAAUUAACAUAGGGGUGCAUAUAUCUUUUCAGAUUAGCACUUUUGCCUUUUUUGGGUAAAUGCCCAAUAAUUUUUGAAGCAUCUCCAACCCACAAUGGCUGUACAAGUUUACAUUCCUACCAACAAUGCACAAGAUUUUCUUUUUCUCCACAACCUCUCAACACUUGUUGUUUCUUGUCCUUUUGACACUAGUCAUUCCGAUUGUCAGGUAAUAUCUCACUGUGGUUUUGUCUUCAUUUCCCUGAUUAGCCUUGUUGAGCACCUUCUUGCGUGUCUGUUGGCCAUCUGUCUGUCUUUGGAAAAAUGUUCAGGUCUUCUGCCAAUUUUUGAAUCAAAAUUUUUUUUUUGGUGUUGAGUUGUUUAGUUUAUAUAUAUGUGUGUAUAUAUAUAUUCACUAGGUUGCCUUUCUGUUGUUGAUGGUUUCCUUUGCUAUGCAGAUGUUUUUUUUUUUUUAUUUUGUGUAGUCCCAAUAAUUUAAUUUGCUUUGUUUCUCUUGCCAACAUAUCGAUAAAUAUGUUGCUAAGGCUGACAUCCAAGAGAUCACUGCCUAUGUUUUCUUUUAGGGGUUUUAUGGUUUCAGGUCUCACAUGUAGAUGUUUAAUCCAUUUUGAAUUUAGUUUUGUGUAUGGUAUAAGAAAGCAGUCCACUUUUAUUCUUUUGCAUGUAACUGUCUAGUUUUGCCAACAUCAUUUGUUAAAAAGACGUCUUUUCCCCAUUGUAUAUUCUUUCCUCCUUUGUCAUGGAUUAAUUGAACAUACAAGCACGGGUUUAUUUCUGGGUUUUCUAUUCUGUUCUAUUGAUCUAUGUGUCUAUUUUUAUGCUAGUAUCAUACUGUUUUGAUUACUACAGCUUUUUGUAUAUCUUGAAAUCUGGGAUUGCUGAUAGCUCCAGCUUUGUUCUUCUUUCUCCAGAUUACUUUGGUGAGUUUAGCUUUUCUUUUUUUAAUUUUUAAAAAUUUAUAUCCAAAUUAGUUACCAUAUAGUGCAACAAUGAUUUCAGGAGUAGAUUCCUUAGUGCCUCUGGUGAGUUUAACUUUUAAGAAGCUAAAAUACUUAAGAGAAUUAUAUGUAAAUAUGAAAGUUUUAUAUUUAGCUUUAUUAAAGUUGUGUAUGUGCUUAUGGAGGUUUGUUUAUGAGGUUUGUAUGUCUGUUUUCUUAAGUGCUUGAGAUUCUUGAGGAAAUACAUUAUAUGAAAUAUGACUGCAGCUGGAAAAUUCACAAGAAUGUAAGUAACCAGGUCUGUAAAAUGUGUUUAAAUAUGUAAGAAUGUUCAAAUUAUCGGAUUCACACGUUCAUUUAUUGAAUUAUAUACAUUUAAAGUAUGAGAUAGUUAUAUAUAUAGUAUCUAAAGGAUUAUGCAAAUUUUGUUAAAGUAUAAGCUAACCUAACAAUAAGUACAAACUGCAUUUAAUUUCAAACUAAAAAUUCUUAGUUUACUGUAUUUUUGCAAUUGUGUUUAAAAGCUCAGAAAAAAUAAGUUUUUCAAUUUAUAACUGUAGGCGAUUGAAUGUCAGUGAUAACACAGGCUACUGUAAGCAUUGUUUUCUGUACACAAAAGCCUCUAUGAGAUUUAAAAAAAAAAAAAAAAAAAAAAAGCCCAACUGAUGUCAGCCUGGGACGGAUCUGAGAAAUCUUUCUGAUGAAAGUGACUCUGAGGCUGGAAAUAAGGAAUCUGAAAAAGUUAGCCAGGAGAGAGGAAUAACAAUGUGUAGGGGAACACAGAAUUUCAGUCUUACUGGAAAUAAAGGAUCAAAGAGGAAUCCCUAGGGAGGCAGAUGUCACAACUCCUUAUUUGGAAAACUAUCCAAGGGGCAGCUAAAAACAGUUCUGCAAAGUGCUUCCCACUUCUAAAGCACCAUCAACAUACUUGGUAUGGUAAUAAUGAAUCUAACUGCCUAUUCCAGAACUCUCUGCUGUGAAGAGGCCGUGGUGGGCAAUGCCAAUUGGGAAACAAGGCUGUGGUUUGUGCCGCCUUCAGCAGAACCUGGUGCCAGCUCUGUGGCUCCGGAAACAGAGCUCAAUUGUAUCUUCCACUCCUCUCUCUUUUUAACCUAAUAAACUUUUCUGACAGGCAAUGGCACCACUCAGGCCUCACUGCCCGGUAGCCAUAUGAUCUCCAUCUGCACUGAGGUCAGCACAUAGGCAUAAAUGGAAGGAAGCAGAAAGCGUAUCAGGAGGAAACACAUGAAUGGAAUAAAAUGUAAACCAGACUUCUGUCCUGCCGUUGGCCCUCCCAGGCUACCAGAGACUCUUCCUCCUGGCUGACCUCUUCUACAGAGCCUUCUCCUACAUUCGCUGGGGAUCAACCACAGGAAGAAGAAGCUACAGAUGUUUCCUCAACAAAGCACUCUGAACAGAGCAGAGUAAUGCAGCUAUUCUGGACUUGGAACCAGAAGACCCAGCUUCACAUUCUGACAAAAGCACUGCCAUGCCAUGUCCCACAAAGAGAAAAUGCACCCACAAGCAGGGGAGGGGCAGAGAGAGAGAGACACAGAAGCCAAAGCAGCCUCCAGGCUCUGAGUUGUCAGCAAGAGCCCGACGUGGAACUCGAACGCAUGAACUGCGAGAUCAUGGCCUGAGCCGAAGCUGGAUUGUCAACCUACUGAGCUACACAGUGUAUACCUUGAGAAACUACUACAGGACAAACAGGUUGGCAAGAAACAAUGAAUGCAACUGUCUGACUCUGUGGGAGCAGUAAGGUUGAGUGAUCCUCUUCUCCCUCAAGAAGUUCUUGGCAUCAGGGCUGACAACUGGAAAUGAAUGGAAACAAAGUGUUUUAAGGGCCCCAGUGAUAGCAAUAGCCCAGUGUUCUUCAGAGUCAUAGAUGCUUUGUUUAAAGAUUUCCCAGAGGAGCAUCAGUGCCAGGAGGAAAACAAGAUCAACCCAAAGAAUCUUCUGUACAUGGCCAGGGUUAUUGCAUAGCAGCUGGGGCAACAUCAAUGAGGGGAGAAUUUCAUUGAAAAUAGCCUUCACCAGGGGCACCUGGGCAGCUCAGUCAUUUAAGUGUCCAACUUUGACUCAGGUCAUGAUCUUGCAGUUCAUGAGUUCAAACCCGAUGUUGGGUUCUGUGCUGACAGCUCAGAGCCUGGAGCCUGUUUCGGGUUUUGUGUCUCCCUCUCUCUCUCUGCCCUUUCCCCACUCUCACUCUGUCUCUUUCUCUCUCUUUAAAUAAGCACUAAAAAAAAAAAAGAAAGAAAAGAAAAAUAAAAAGAAAAGAAAAAGAAAAGAAAAGAAAAGAAAAGAAAAGAAAAGAAAAGAAAAGAAAAGAAAAGAAAAGAAAAUAGCCUUCACUUUCGGCCAUAAAGCAUGACCCAGCAGAGCGAAUUUAUGGAGGUAGUUUUGACAAACUCCAGUUUCAAGGUGAAGCUCUUCCUUACAGGAUAUGAUGAAUAUGUGUAAGCCCUCUGGGCAAUUAGGAUUACCAUAAAGAAGAUGACUACAAGGGAGGAGAGAAGCUUAUUAUCACGAAGGGCAGGUCAGUAUGAAGCCUUAAUCUGGUUUUGAUUUGAAUAACAUAGGACCUUACUUGUUCCCUUCUUUGAAGUGGGUUAAAGGGAUUAUCCUACUAGGUGUGAUUAAGAAUAUAGUAAGAUGAAUCUUAAACUAUUAGCUCAGAUGUGCAAGAUACCAUAUUUCUUUUAUUUAAGAAAAAUCAACUUAUCCUACUUUGUCCCUGGUUUCCAAAUCAAAACUUAUUUUGUUACACAGAGGAAAAAAGUCUGCUUUGGAGAGAAAAUUGAACUUGGGUCACCUUGAACUCUAAGAAAAUAUGAUCAUAAUUCUACAAAGAAAUAAAACACCAUACAUAUGCUAAA